UGCAAAAGCAAAAUAUUAUUGCCACCACUAAUCAAAUUUAGGCAAACCUUUCAUCUUCCAAUUAGAUCAAACCAAAUGUUAGAUAAGGCUAAUGAAUUGUAACAUCUAUGUCCAACAAACUUCAUUGCUAUGGGCAUUCGGUGAUAGGAACUACACUUUCUUUCAAGGCUGUAUAACUUCAAAUUAAAUAAACAAAAAGUUAGAACGAGGCGAAUUAAGGAUCAUGCAUACGAAAAGUGUAUCGUACAUUCGUACUCCUAUAAUAAUUACUGAAUUAUACAUCCGAGAGUAUCGUCCAAAUAGUACUCCCCAAGAAAAACACAGCAAAUACAAAACAAAGCGUGCACGACAUAAAUACGCUAGAUAACAUAAAAUAACAUGUGAAACGACAGACGUAACAUACAAAAUUAUUUUUUAAAAAAAAAAAGAAUAACAUAGCAUAACUGCCAAAAUUAUAAGCAUAAGUAGCCUUAAAAUGAAGAAAAUUUACAGCAACGCUUCAUUUUCAUUUUGAAACUCUCUCCUAUCCACUUUCUCACUUCACAACUAUCACAAAUCGCCAUUUUAAAGACUUUAAAGUUUUCUCUCUCCUCUUCAUUUACAUUUCUUAAAACUCUCCUCCCCCAUUUACGUUUCUCCCCGCAAUUUUGAAGAUUUCUGAAGUAAAAUGGAAGAAAAACAGUCUGAAAAACAUCUAGAAAACAAGAAAUUCAAAAAUAUAAGUGGCACCUUUGAUACGGGCCUGGGCCGCGCCAAUCAUGAAGAAAGAGAGCCAACUUAACAAGUUCAAAUGAGGUUCCACCUUAAAAUCAUAUGACAAUAAGGGGAGUAUCCUCUUAUCCUUAUUAAGUGAUUAACUCUCACCUCUUUUCUCAAUGUGGGACACUCACGUGUAUUAUUUGUGAAGGCUUGCUUCAACACGGUCUGUUGACUUCCUGUGUAGGCAAAUAUGAAGUUCACAUAAUUGAAUGUCCUUCAAACAAAAUUCUUGAUAUUGUUGAUAAACUAGAACAAGAUUAGUACACAUACUGACUUCAUUGUGAAGACUUGUUUCUUACCUAUUAUGAGUCUUACUAAUAUACAUGUA
Spinacia oleracea (spinach) is the source of this 1087-nucleotide long non-coding RNA. RefSeq lists it as uncharacterized. The record is from RefSeq and is a predicted model, not a curated record. The transcript is spliced from 2 exons. NCBI's taxonomy places the organism in Eukaryota, Viridiplantae, Streptophyta, Magnoliopsida, Caryophyllales, Amaranthaceae.